AGUGAACGCUGGCGGUAGGCCUAACACAUGCAAGUCGAACGGCAGCACAGUAAGAGCUUGCUCUUACGGGUGGCGAGUGGCGGACGGGUGAGGAAUACAUCGGAAUCUACUUUUUCGUGGGGGAUAACGUAGGGAAACUUACGCUAAUACCGCAUACGACCUACGGGUGAAAGCAGGGGAUCUUCGGACCUUGCGCGAUUGAAUGAGCCGAUGUCGGAUUAGCUAGUUGGCGGGGUAAAGGCCAACCAAGGCGACGAUCCGUAGCUGGUCUGAGAGGAGGAUCGCCCACACUGGAACUGGGACACGGUCCAGACUCCUACGGGAGGCAGCAGUGGGGAAUAUUGGACAAUGGGCGCAAGCCUGAUCCAGCCAUACCGCGUGGGUGAAGGAGGCCUUCGGGUUGUAAAGCCCUUUUGUUGGGAAAGAAAAGCAGCAGGUUAAUACCCCGCUGUUCUGACGGUACCCAAAGAAUAAGCACCGGCUAACUUCGUG
RNAcentral lists this ribosomal RNA (492 nucleotides) under uncultured bacterium. RNAcentral's name for it is "partial 16S ribosomal RNA". It matches the Rfam family "Bacterial small subunit ribosomal RNA", at positions 29 to 507 of the family's 1533-position model. The record is from RNAcentral.